This 711-nucleotide ribosomal RNA is filed under the name uncultured Actinomycetes bacterium. RNAcentral describes it as "bacterial SSU rRNA". It matches the Rfam family "Bacterial small subunit ribosomal RNA", at positions 56 to 781 of the family's 1533-position model. The record is from RNAcentral. Lineage: Bacteria; Bacillati; Actinomycetota; Actinomycetes.
UGCAAGUCGAGCGAUGAAGUUUCUUCGGAAAUGGAUUAGCGGCGAACGGGUGAGGAACACGUGAAGAAUCUGCCAUCCACUUUGGGAUAACACCGGGAAACCGGUGCUAAUACUGAAUAUUGAAACAUAAGUGGCAUCACUGAGUUUUGAAAGAAUUUCGGUGGAGGAUGACUUCGCGGCCUAUCAGCUAGUUGGUGAGGUAAUGGCUCACCAAGGCAACGACGGGUAGCCGGCCUGAGAGGGCGACCGGCCACACUGGGACUGAGACACGGCCCAGACUCCUACGGGAGGCAGCAGUGGGGAAUAUUGGGCAAUGGAGGAAACUCUGACCCAGCGACGCCGCGUGCGGGAUGAAGGCCUUCGGGUUGUAAACCGCUUUCAGUAGGGAAGAAGCGAAAGUGACGGUACCUACAAAAGAAGCACCGGCUAACUAUGUGCCAGCAGCCGCGGUAAUACAUAGGGUGCAAGCGUUGUCCGGAAUUAUUGGGCGUAAAGAGCUCGUAGGUCGUUUGUUACGUCGGAUGUGAAAACCUGAGGCUCAACCUCAGGCCUGCAUUCGAUACGGGCAAACUAGAGUUUGGUAGGGGAGACUGGAAUUCCUGGUGUAGCGGUGGAAUGCGCAGAUAUCAGGAGGAACACCAAUGGCGAAGGCAGGUCUCUGGGCCAAUACUGACACUGAGGAGCGAAAGUCUGGGGAGCGAACAGGAUUAG